This 522-nucleotide ribosomal RNA is filed under the name uncultured Glomus. RNAcentral describes it as "SSU rRNA". It matches the Rfam family "Eukaryotic small subunit ribosomal RNA", at positions 569 to 1092 of the family's 1831-position model. The record is from RNAcentral. Lineage: Eukaryota; Fungi; Glomeromycota; Glomeromycetes; Glomerales; Glomeraceae.
AGCAGCCGCGGUAAUUCCAGCUCCAAUAGCGUAUAUUAAAGUUGUUGCAGUUAAAAAGCUCGUAGUUGAAUUUCGGGGUUAGUAGAUUGGUCAUGCCUCUGGUAUGCACUGGUCUUACUGAUUCCUCCUUCCUGAUGAACCGUAAUGCCAUUAAUUUGGUGUUGCGGGGAAACUGGACUGUUACUUUGAAAAAAUUAGAGUGUUUAAAGCAGGCUAACGCUUGAAUACAUUAGCAUGGAAUAAUGAAAUAGGACGUUCGAUCUUAUUUUGUUGGUUUCUAGGAUUGACGUAAUGAUUAAUAGGGAUAGUUGGGGGCAUUAGUAUUCAAUUGUCAGAGGUGAAAUUCUUGGAUUUAUUGAAGACUAACUACUGCGAAAGCAUUUGCCAAGGAUGUUUUCAUUAAUCAAGAACGAAAGUUAGGGGAUCGAAGACGAUCAGAUACCGUCGUAGUCUUAACCAUAAACUAUGCCGACUAGGGAUCGGAUGAUGUUAAUUUUUUAAUGACUCAUUCGGCGCCUUACG